This 428-nucleotide ribosomal RNA is filed under the name uncultured Acinetobacter sp. RNAcentral describes it as "bacterial SSU rRNA". It matches the Rfam family "Bacterial small subunit ribosomal RNA", at positions 355 to 774 of the family's 1533-position model. The record is from RNAcentral. Lineage: Bacteria; Pseudomonadati; Pseudomonadota; Gammaproteobacteria; Moraxellales; Moraxellaceae.
UGGGGAAUAUUGGACAAUGGGGACCGUAGCAUCCAGCCAUGCCGCGCUGUGUGAAGAAGGCCUUAUGGUUGUAAAGCACUUUAAGCGAGGAGGAGGCUCUCUUGGUUAAUACCCAAGAUGAGUGGACGUUACUCGCAGAAUAAGCACCGGCUAACUCUGUGCCAGCAGCCGCGGUAAUACAGAGGGUGCGAGCGUUAAUCGGAUUUACUGGGCGUAAAGCGUGCGUAGGCGGCUUUUUAAGUCGGAUGUGAAAUCCCCGAGCUAACUUGGGAAUUGCAUUCGAUACUGGGAAGCUAGAGUAUGGGAGAGGAUGGUAGAAUUCCAGGUGUAGCGGUGAAAUGCGUAGAGAUCUUGGAGGAAUACCGAUGGCGAAGGCAGCCAUCUGGCCUAAUACUGACGCUGAGGUACGAAAGCAUGGGGAGCAAACA